This 496-nucleotide ribosomal RNA is filed under the name uncultured bacterium. RNAcentral's name for it is "partial 16S ribosomal RNA". It matches the Rfam family "Bacterial small subunit ribosomal RNA", at positions 28 to 507 of the family's 1533-position model. The record is from RNAcentral.
GAUGAACGCUGGCGGCGUGCCUAAUACAUGCAAGUCGAGCGAACAGACGGGAGCUUGCUCCUCUGACGUUAGCGGCGGACGGGUGAGUAACACGUGGAUAACCUACCUAUAAGACUGGGAUAACUUCGGGAAACCGGAGCUAAUACCGGAUAAUAUAUUGAACCGCAUGGUUCAAUAGUGAAAGACGGUUUUGCUGUCACUUAUAGAUGGAUCCGCGCCGCAUUAGCUAGUUGGUAAGGUAACGGCUUACCAAGGCGACGAUGCGUAGCCGACCUGAGAGGGUGAUCGGCCACACUGGAACAGGAACACGGACCAGACUCCUACGGAGGGCAGCAGUAGGGAAUCUUCCGCAGUGGGCGAAAGCCGGACGGAGCAACGCCGCGUGAGUGAUGAAGGUCUUCGGAUCGUGAAACUCUGUUAUUAGGGAAGAACAAAUGUGUAAGUAACUAUGCACGUCUUGACGGUACCUAAUCAGAAAGCCACGGCUAACUACGUG